This is a long non-coding RNA of Peromyscus eremicus (cactus mouse), 1662 nucleotides long. RefSeq lists it as uncharacterized. The transcript is spliced from 2 exons. Lineage: Eukaryota; Metazoa; Chordata; Mammalia; Rodentia; Cricetidae. The record is from RefSeq and is a predicted model, not a curated record.
AUGAGACAUGGUAUCAACCCACUAGCCAAUGAUCAGGGAACAGUGUGGAAAAGGAGGUGCAAAGAAUUUAAAAGGUACCUCCUAUGUGCUGGUUCUUUAGUGCACAAGAUAGCUGAUAAAAGUAGGAAAGGGGGCUGGAGAGAUGGCUCAGCAAUUAAGAACACUUGUUGGUCUUGAAGAGGAUGCAGGUUCAGUUCCCAGCACCCACGUAGUAGCUUACAACGAUCCAUUAACUCUGCUUUCAGGGGACCUGAUAUCCUCUUCUGACCUCUGUGGGCAACAGACACACCCAUGGUGCACAGCCAUAUAUGCAGGGAAAAACUCAUACACAUAAAAUAAAGAAAAAUCUUUAAAAAAAAAUCUUUCUAGAAAUGUUCUCAUCUUUAGAUAUGUAAUUAAGUAGACCACAAACACAGACAUAGUUUUUAUUAAACAGCUUUUCAUAGGAUCAUCAUAUUGCCUAGUGUAUCACUGUUAAGUAAUGAAUGAAUGUGCUGUCCCUAUAAUCCUAACGCAAUUACUUGUAGUGCACCUCUCACUUUCAACACUGUCCUGGUUUAUAUACGAAAUUACACAUUGGCCCUAUUCAUAUUGGUGUCAGUAUGCAGCUUCUAACCUCCCUUGUACCUCUUGACUUUUACCCUAGCAUCUACUACUCAUGAAUCACUCAGAUCCUUCUAACAGUUGACAAAUCCAACUGAAGAUAUAUUUAAAUUCAAUGGCACCAAACAGGUAUAUAACAAUAGAACUCUUACAGCCCAAUUCAAUUAUUUUUGACUACUUCUGAUUCCUUUAGAAGACUAUACGACAAGGCCACCUGUCAUACAGUAUAUUUUCAUUAAUUAGCUAAUUACUUUUCUAAGGUAGUGUUUCUGACAUCAAAAGCAACACUAAUAUGCAGUAAGAGUUUGCCAAACUUACCCACAAAUGCUCCAAAUUCUAUGUUAUCUCCUUCUGCAGCUUUAUAGAAAACAGGUUCUGGAUCUUUGGUUGCAGAUUCCAAGUGGCUUUUGCAACUUGGCUGGGAUGGAGUACUCACAGAAAAUUUGGUUGGUGGGGAUGACAUAUGUGGUGAACUAUUAGGCGAACUUCCUAAUUUCUGAUUUUUAUUAAAUAUUUUUAAGAUUUCUACCCCAUGUCGUCUCUGUCGUAAUUCUGGGGGAGAAACAGCACUUGGGAAUAAGGCACCACAGGAGGAACCAGCCUCUGGAAUGUUGAAUUCUUUUCUCUGGGGUAUCACAGACAAAUCUUGACCAAACAAGUUAUACUGGGGGUCUUUUUCAUCUUUCACAGAAAUAUUACAAAGAAAAGGAUUACUACUUUCACGAUCACCUUGAGGAAGAGAGGAGCUCAGUGUAUUUACAACGCUAUGCUUCUUCCACACAGAUCUCACAGGAACGUCAUCAAUAAGAUUCUGGGCCAAGUGUUUGGAAAUACUCAGUUCUCGAGUGAUCUCAUUGUGGACUUUGCUAGCUUCUGAAGCUUUCUGGGCUAAUGGAAUUUGUCGUCCUUUUCAUCAAAAUACAUCUCAACACACUGCUCUUCAAAGUCAUGGAGUUUCUUUUGAUCUUCUUCUGUUAAGAAAAGUUCUAAGGAGGAGAAGGCAAAAAAGAAAUUAGAACACAAAACAAUGAAGGCUACCCACCAGGUUUUCAAACUUCA